CAAGCUGAGCAUGGAGAUCAAUAACCAUCUUCUCUUCAUAGUCUGAUAAGAGACCCCUCUUCAAGUCUGGCCUAAGGUAGUUUGUCCAUCUCAGCCUGCAACUCUUACCACACCUUAACAAUCCUGCAAUCACACCCGCCAUAACCAUUUACUCAUUUCUCUUUCUUUUUUUUUCUUUUUUUUUAUGUUUUUAUUUUUUAAGCACUAAAGCCUGUAAUGUUGUGAAUCAUUACAAAUUUUUUAUAGUUUAUCUUGUGGGCAGCUUUUCUAGCAUAUACCUUCUGUAUAAUGAUUGUUUUAUUGACUACCUGUCCUGCCCAAUAAUUUAUCGAGAAAAUACGCUAUAUAUUAGGAUAAUUGUCUGAUUUUCUCGAUAAAAUCAUAUGGAAAUUAUAUGUACUCUGAGUUAGUCAGAAUAAAAUCUCAAAUUCUUUCGUUUACGAGAAAAAAAAAA
Molecule: non-coding RNA, 454 nt
Organism: Camellia sinensis
Lineage: Eukaryota; Viridiplantae; Streptophyta; Magnoliopsida; Ericales; Theaceae
Source: RefSeq, a predicted model, not a curated record